This 1959-nucleotide long non-coding RNA is filed under the name Nicotiana benthamiana. RNAcentral's name for it is "long non-coding RNA (NBEN_LNC030378)". The record is from RNAcentral. Lineage: Eukaryota; Viridiplantae; Streptophyta; Magnoliopsida; Solanales; Solanaceae.
AAGAAUCUGUUCUAUAUUCCUUAAAAUGUUUAAGAUUACUAUAAGACGAGGGGGACUUUAGGCCUAACCUCCAAUACUUACAAAAAGUCAUAAAUAAAAUACUAAUUUCUACAGACAACAAUAUUAGAGGUGAGUCUCCUCCCUAUUUCAAGAAUUACAAGUGCUAUGAAUAUGAAAACUUGUAGAGCUUCUGUAGUAUCAAAUGUUUCUGCAGUCGCGCCCUCCAGCCCCUCUUUACAAAAGCGAGCACUUCAUCGCUUAUGUCGCUUCAUCGCUUCUUCUACUGAAGCACACGCUUGACAAGGUCGAGUCGCCUCAGGCUAGGAAAAACGAUGGUUGGUCGCUUCGCUUUUUCAAACACAGCCUCCAGCUUCUUAGUUUCAUGCUUUUGUACAAUAAUAAUCUUGUAAAAGUUGAGACAAAUCAGCCCAUGGAUAAAAAUAAGUUGCAACUAGAUAAUCUCUGUAGAUAGAUGUUGGAAAGAAAUAUUUUAGUUUGUAAAACAUAGUUCGUGAUAGCAUAUAACAGAUCUUAAUGUCAUUGUAAUAUACAAUCACAACUUAAACUAUUUCUACAUUACAAAUCAUAACGAACAUUGCAAAUCUUAAUUAUUAUUUAUUAUGUUAAGACGAACAAGCGAUCGAGCAGCAAUUAUAAUGAAAAUUGAAGAGGUAAUUCUUUGACAAUCAAGAAUCAUGUAUAAAUAUGUGAAUCUGUCCAAUGGUUAGACAACCAACACAUAUAAAUCGCAAUAACUACUAAAAGCGACAUCAGCCUAGCAGAGAGUUCACUCUGCACCUUUAAUCCAUCAACAAGGCAUGCGAGCAUGCUUCUAAUGUAACUUUUCCGAUGACCUCUAAUAUCAGUCUCAUCCUUGACACCACCAAGGAAGAUGCAAACAAACUUUCUGCUCAGAGCAACUGAAAUUGUUGAAGCCAACAAUGUCUUCCUAACCCCCAGGUGGACUAACAAAGUAUAAUACAAGGCCUCUAGCAGAUAAAAAACAAGAAUUUUUUAUAUGGGAUUCCACAACCAAGGAAACAUAGGUAGAAAAUAUAUGAGAGAUUAAAGUGUUGCGCCCUCCAGCUUCUUAUUCAUGAUUUGUACAAUCAUAAGCUUGUAAAAGUUGAGACAAACAAUGGGUAAUACCUGUAGAGGUUGGAAAAAAUUCUAGUUUGUCAUCACCCUCAAUUUGCAUCGCAACUACCCUGCAAAAUACUUGAUUAUCAAAAUGUUCUAUCGAGAUAACUUCAAGAGCUUGCAAAUCAGAAGUGCAUCUAUCAUAAAAUAGAAUUUUGCAACAAAAAAAUAAGAAAGAAGUCACUAUUAUCUGCAACAAAAACUUCCUAUAUAGGAUUCGACAACCAAGUACGGAAAUGGAGGUAAGAAAAUAUUUGUGAGAGUAAACCGCUCCGUAAAAUGUACAGUUUGAUUUAAAAAAUCUAUUUUUGAGCCAAGAUUAAAACUUUACUACAAUUAAAAAAUUCACUCGGAAUUUAUCUUUAACACCAAAAUUGUGAGACAUGUGCAAAUUUGAGAAGGGCUUACAGCGACCCAACACUAGAAUGUUGUGGUACCACCACCAGUGUCGAUGUCUUCCAUCAAUUUUACUUGUAUAAUAUCAAAAAUCCUGAAUCAUGGAUGAACUUUCAGGAAGAUCUAUAAAAGAAAUUGACAUUAAAUUUAAAAAAAGGGAAAAUUUUGGGGAAUAUAGAAAUUCUUCGAGAUUCAGAUUGGGCUUACACAAUGGAAGUCGAUAAUGAAGCUUAGAUUUCAAGGAAUUCAUCUCUGCCAACUGAUUAGGAAUAGAAUGAGAAUAUGAAAGAGUUAAAGGGAUUUCUGACGGGAGAGAGAUCAUAUUUAUUUGGGUUUAAUUUUUGGGAUUUGGGGAAGGACAAAAAAUCCCUUAAACUUAAUUUGGUGGCCCUUGAAUAGGUAUUUUCCCAAAAUCAAAUAUAC